This 369-nucleotide ribosomal RNA is filed under the name uncultured Psychrobacter sp. RNAcentral's name for it is "bacterial SSU rRNA". It matches the Rfam family "Bacterial small subunit ribosomal RNA", at positions 446 to 813 of the family's 1533-position model. Lineage: Bacteria; Pseudomonadati; Pseudomonadota; Gammaproteobacteria; Moraxellales; Moraxellaceae. The record is from RNAcentral.
CCUAACGGUUAAUACCCGUUAGCGAUGACAUUAGCUGCAGAAUAAGCACCGGCUAACUCUGUGCCAGCAGCCGCGGUAAUACAGAGGGUGCAAGCGUUAAUCGGAAUUACUGGGCGUAAAGCGAGCGUAGGUGGCUUGAUAAGUCAGAUGUGAAAGCCCCGGGCUCAACCUGGGAACGGCAUCUGAUACUGUUAGGCUAGAAUAGGUGAGAGGAAGGUAGAAUUCCAGGUGUAGCGGUGAAAUGCGUAGAGAUCUGGAGGAAUACCGAUGGCGAAGGCAGCCUUCUGGCAUCAUAUUGACACUGAGGUUCGAAAGCGUGGGUAGCAAACAGGAUUAGAUACCCUGGUAGUCCACGCCGUAAACGAUGUC